Molecule: long non-coding RNA, 116 nt
Organism: Nematolebias whitei (Rio pearlfish)
Lineage: Eukaryota; Metazoa; Chordata; Actinopteri; Cyprinodontiformes; Rivulidae
Exons: 3
Source: RefSeq, a predicted model, not a curated record
CAUUGAGACAAUUCCCAUGAAAAAUAUGGAAAAUGGUAUUAAUGGUUAUCAUAGUGAGCGCUGUCAAGGUAUUCCUAACCCCAUGAUGACAAGUGUUCCCACGUAUGACACAAUGA